RNAcentral lists this long non-coding RNA (25813 nucleotides) under Triticum aestivum (bread wheat). RNAcentral's name for it is "long non-coding RNA (TAES_LNC019575)". Lineage: Eukaryota; Viridiplantae; Streptophyta; Magnoliopsida; Poales; Poaceae. The record is from RNAcentral.
CUCAUACUUUUGCGUAAAGUUGCCAUUAUUCAAAAAGACAAAAAUAAUAAUUUUCAAUGUGAUAAGUACAAACUUUACCAUGGAAAAUCUACCAUUUUAUCAUGGCAACUUUGUGUGUUUUUCUUAUUUUUUAAUGUGUUUGUUUUGCCAAAUUGGUAAAAACAAAUACUACCAUUGCCACAAUUUAUAUGGUAUCUUUUUAAAAUUAUUCCCCUCUGACCUGGUAACCUUUUUCCAUAAUUAGUGUAGUUUAUACCAUGCUGUUUAUAUAUAUUUGCCACGGGUGUAUAUGGAAAUGUACAAAAAAAAUAAAUUAUACAAUCAUGGCAAAUUUUAGAUAACAACUAAUUUCCAAAGUUGCCAUGUGGCCACUUUUAUAAAUUUCAUAUAAUUUUCCAUGUAACUAAUAGUUUUUUUUCACUUGCCAUACCAUAAAGCAUUUUUUUUAAAGUUGUUAGGUCAAUGUACUAUAUUCUUUCUGAUAUUGGCCAUCAACUAGAGAACAAAAAUUCUAAUUUUUCCAUGACAUCAUUUUUUGCUACCGUUGCCAUGAAUUAGGGAUUGUUUUUUCCAUAGCCAUGGCAGCAUAUUAGAUCGUUCGCCAUGAGUUAGAGAUCAUUCGCCAUGUGAGUGUACUAUGCACAUAACAAUUGUUUUUAAAACUUUGCCAUGCCAUUGUACUAUGUUCAUUCCGAAUUCACCAUUAAUUAGGUAACGGAAGUCCUAAAAUUGCCAUGACAUCAUUAUUCAACAUUCGCCAUAAUUAGAGAUCUUUUUUUUGCAUGGACCAUGGCAAAUUGCAUCGCUAGACCAUGAAAAUUUUACUUGAAAAUACAUGGAAAUUUAUUUGCAUAGCCAUGAAAAUUUAAUUUUGCCAUGGACCAUUGCAAGUUGUUUUUAGUUCCACGGCAAAAUAAUUUCCAGAGCCACAACAAUUUAGUUUCUUCCUGGACCAUUUCAAAUCUUAUUUCCUAGCUCAUGUCAAAUUUAUUUUGAAAGACAUUGUAACUUUUUUUCCAUAGCAUGGCAAUUUUAUUUUUAGAAUCAUCACCAUUUAGUUAUUUCCUAGACCCAUGGAAAAUUUAUUUAUAUCACGACAAGUAUCAUGGAAAAUUUUAUUUUAUUAUUUCUACCAUAUGUUAUGAAAAAUAAAAUAUAGUGCAUGGCAUUUCUAUUAUAAUAUCAUGUGGAAAUUCAUUUAUGUCAUUUUUUAUUUCAUACGCAAAUUUGCCACGUACUUGGAAAUUUAGAUGUCAUGGCAAAUUAAAUUUUCGAGAGUUGUGUUGCAUUAAUUUUCCUGAUCAUGUUUGCAAUGUUUUAUCUCAGCCAAGGCAAGUUUUGGUAAGUUACAUGGAUUUUUUGUUAUUUCUACCAUGAUAAUUUUUAUUUUUAUUGCAUGUGAUUGAAAUGUUGUGACAAAAAAAAUAUAGAGCAUGGCAUUUUUAUUACAAGAUCAUGGCAAAAUUCUUGCACUUCUUUUAAAUUAUUUAGUGCGCAAAUUUGUCAUGUACCUCGAAAUUUAGAUGUCGUGGCAAAUUAAAUUUGAUAGCUACGGCGAUUCUUUUUUCCUGGACAAUAUUUUGAACCGGGGGCCAUGCGAUAGUUUCAUUAUAAAAGGAUGCAAAAAAAAGUUUUUAAAGGCAUGUGUUUUCGUUGUGCUAAAGUUGGGCCUUUUUUGUCCAUUUUUUCCUUAUAACGUGUUGUUUUAACAAACCCUUUUAAGGGCGUCAAAUAUUUUUUGACGUGAAAGUGGUUUACGCUGGUGGUCGAUGCUAUCCCAUCAAACAAAACAUUCAUUCUCCCCUCCUAGGGGUACGAUUUGUUCGAUCUAGAUCAUUCGUUCGCUCGGUAUUGGGAUUCGUGUGCCUUUGGUGAUUGUCGACGGCAUCUAGCCCAUGUUUCGACAGUAGCAGCUCGACGGUGCUGCACGACAGUAGCUUGACUGCGCUUCAACACUCAAGCAUUGUUCUUGGCGCGACAAGGCUAGACAUCAGAAGUGAUUUGCCACCCGAUUUAUUGUUUUAUCUCUCGCUAAUUGCAAUCAAGUAAGGUGCUCGUCGAAUGGUCUAGGUAGGGAAAGAUCGACAUAUCAGACGUGCCUUGAGGCAAAGCCAAAGGAGCCGGCUCCAAAGCAUCUUGAUAUGGCAAACCACAUAUCUUUCCCUAUUGAUGAUUAGCACUAAUACGAGAGUACAAAAUUAUUUGUGACAAUUGACAAAGAUAUGACCCACACGUAUUUUCUUUUUUGAUGUAAAUCACAUGUCAUUCAUUCAACAAUUGCACUACAACCCUACAAGUAGUCAGGAUAUAGAAGCAACCGAAAGACUAUAUUUAUUUCUUCUGUACUCUCUCUUCCUCAAGGCAUAUUGGAGCAGAUUGAGAGAAUCAUGCGCCAGUGUCUGUGGAGAGGGAACACGGAUACCCCACGCCAAUCAUUGGCUGCUUGGGAUCUAGUCCGUCGGCCUAAGAAGUUGGGCGGUCUGGGUGUUCUCGAUUUAGGUAUUCAAAAUGAUGCCUUGUUGCUCAAGCAUCUCUUCAAGUUCUUUAACAAGGUGGAUGUGCCUUGGGUCACCCUAAUUUGGGACACUUAUUAUGCCUCCUCUCCACCACAAGUCACUCAGAGCUGUGGUUCUUUUUGGUGGCGAGAUGUCAUGCGCGUAUAUGAUAAUUUUUGCAAGUUGUCUGUUCCGCAAGUGCAUGCUGGUGAUAUGGUGGUCUUCUGGCUUGACCGCUGGCAGCUGGGGAAUAGUGUUGUUUUAAUGCAAGAUCGGUUUCCGCGGCUUCAUUCCUUUGUGAUUGAUGAUACGAUCACAGUUGAGGAAUUUAUGGAGCUACCUGAUUUAACCGAUAACUUCCAUUUGCCUCUGUCGCCAGAAGCUUUCCAAGAAUACACUCGGCUUCAAUCUUUGCUGCCGCUGAUCAACCUUGAUGAGGAAAGGAAAGAUAUAUGGACAUGGCCAUCUAAAUCUGGAGAGUUUAAGUCAAGGAUCUAUUAUGAGUCUUGCUUCUCACAUCUUGUGGUUGAUCCCAUAUUUAAGUGGAUCUGGAAAUGUUCAUGCACUCUCAAGUUCAAGGUGUUUGGUUGGCUCCUUUUGAUGGAUCGUUUGAAUACCAGAGACAUGAUGCAGUCGAAGGAAAUAUGCCCUAGAGGCAAUAAUAAAUUUGUUAUUUAUAUUUCCUUAUAUCAUGAUAAAUGUUUAUUAUUCAUGCUAGAAUUGUAUUAACCGGAAACUUAGUACAUGUGUGAAUACAUAGACAAAACAGAGUGUCACUAGUAUGCCUCUACUUGACUAGCUCGUUGAAUCAAAUAUGGUUAAAUUUCCUAGCCAUAGACAUGAGUUGUCAUUUGAUUAACGGGAUCACAUCAUUAAAGAAUGAUGUGAUUGACUUGACCCAUUCCGUUAGCUUAGCACUUGAUCGUUUAGUAUGUUGCUAUUGCUUUCUUCGUGACUUAUACAUGUUCCUAUGAGUAUGAGAUUAUGCAACUCUCGAAUACCGGAGGAACACUUUGUGUGCUACCAAACGUCACAACGUAACUGGGUGAUUAUAAAGGUGCUCUACAGGUGUCUCCGAUGGUGGUUGUUGAGUUGGCAUAGAUCGAGAUUAGGGUUUGUCACUCCGAUUGUCGGAGAGGUAUCUCUGGGCCCUCUCGCUAAUACACAUCACUACAAGCCUUGCAAGCAAUGUGACUAAUGAGUUAGUUGCGGGAUGAUGCAUUACGGAACGAGUAAAGAGACUUGCCGGUAACAAGAUUUAACUAGGUAUUGAGAUACCGACGAUCGAAUCUCGGGCAAGUAACAUACCGAUGACAAAGGGAACUACGUAUGUUGUUAUGCGGUUUGACCAAUAAAGAUCAUCAUAGAAUAUGUGGGAGCCAAUAUGAGCAUCCAGGUUCCGCUAUUGGUUAUUGACCGGAAACGUGUCUCGGUCAUGUCUACAUAGUUCUCGAACCCGUAGGGUCCGCACGCUUAACGUUCGGUGAUGAUCGGUAUUAUGAGUUUAUGUGUUUUGAUGUACCGAAGAUAGUUCGGAGUCCCGGAUGUGAUCACGGACAUGACGAGGAGUCUCUAAAUGGUCGAGACAUAAAGAUUGAUAUAUUGGACGGCUAUAUUCGGACACCUGAAUUGUUCCGGGUGAUUUCGGAGAAAACCGGAGUGCCAGAGGGUUACCGGAACCUCCCCGGGAGAACUAAUGGGCCUCAUGGGCCUUAGUGGAGAGAGAGAGGGCCGGCCAGGGCAGCCCCCCCUUGGGAGUCCGAAUUGGACAAGGAGAGGGGCGGCGCCCCCCUUUCCCUUCUCCCUCUCCUCCUUCCUUCCCCCUCCUAGUAGGAGUAGGAAAGGGGAGUCCUCCUCCUACUAGGAGGAGGACUCCUCCUCUCCUGGCGCGCCACAAGGGCCGGCCGGCCUCCCCCCUUGCUCCUUUAUAUACGGGGGCAGGGGCACCCUAGAACACACAAGUUGAUUGUUUCCAGCCGUGUGUGGUUCCCCCCUCCAUCAUAAUCCACCUCGGUCAUAUCGUUGCAGUGCUUAGGCGAAGCCUUGCGCCGGUAGCUUCAUCAUCACCGUCACCACGUCGUCGUGCUGACGAAACUCUCCCUCGAUACUCUGCUGGAUCGUGAGUUUGAGUGACGUCAUCGAGCUGAACGUGUGCUGAACUCGGAGGUGCCGUGCGUUCGGUACUUGGAUCGAUCGGAUCGUGAAGACGUACGACUACAUCAACCGCGUUGACAAAAUGCUUCCGCUUACGGUCUACGAGGGUACGUGGACAACACUCUCCCGCUCGUUGCUAUGCAUCACCAUGCUCUUGCGUGUGCGUAGGGAAAUUUUGAAAUUACUACGUUCCCCAAUAGUGGCAUCCGAGCUAGGUUUAUGCGUAGAUGUUAUAUGCACGAGUAGAACACAAGUGAGUUGUGGGUGAUACUAGGCAUACUGCUUACCAACAUGUCAUACUUUGAUUCGGCGGUAUUGUUGAAUGAAGCGGCCCGGACCGACAUUACGCGUACGCUUACGCGAGACUGGUUCUACCGACGUGCUUCGCACACAGGUGGCUGGCGGGUGUCAGUUUCUCCAACUUUAGUUGAAUCGAGUGUGGCUACGCCCGGUCCUUGUUGAAGGUUAAAACAACACAUACUUGACGAAAAAUCAUUGUGGUUCUGAUGCGUAGGUAAGAACGGUUCUUGCUAAGCCCGUAGCAGCCACGUAAAACUUGCAAGAACAAAGUAGAGGACGUCUAACUUGUUUUUGCAGGGCUUGUUGUGAUGUGAUAUGGUCAAGACGUGAUGAGAUAUAAGUUGUUGUAUGAGAUGAUCAUGUUUUGUUGAAGUUAUCGGCAACUAGUAGAAGCCUUAUGGUUGUCUCUUUAUUGCAUAAGAUGCAAGCGCCAAAUAAUUGCUUUACUUUAUUGCUAUGCGAUAGCAACAGUUGGCGAGACGACCCUAUGACGACACGUUGAUAGAGAUCAAGAUGAUGGAGAUCAUGGUGUCAUGCCGGUGACGAUAGAGAUCAUGACGGUACUUUAGAGAUGGAGAUCAAAGGCGCAAGAUGAUCAUGGCCAUAUCAUGUCACAUAUUUUGAUUGCAUGUGGUCUUUAUUCUUUAUGCAACUUAUUUUGCUUAGUUCGGCGGUAGCUUUAUAAGAUGAUCCCUUACUAAAAUUUCAAGGUAUAAGUGUUCUCCCUGAGUAUGCACCGUUGCGACAGUUCUUCGUGCUGAGACAUCACGUGAUGAUCGGGUGUGAUAAGCUCUACAUUCACAUACAACGGGUGCAAGCCGGUUUUGCACACGCAGAAUACUCAGGUUAAACUUGACGAGCCUAGCAUAUACAGAUAUUGACUCGGAACACUAGAGACCGAAAGGUCGAGCGUGAAUCAUAUAGUAGAUAUGAUCAAUAUAGUGAUGUUCACCAUUGGAAACUACUCCAUCUCACAUGAUGAUCGAACAUGGUUUAGUUGAUUUAGAUCGCGUGAUCAUUUAGAUGACUAGAGGGGUGUCUAUCUAAGUGGGAGUUCUUAAGUAAUAUGAUUAAUUGAACUUUAAUUUAUCAUGAAGUUAGUCCUGGUAGUAUUAGCAUAUCUAUGUUGUAGAUCAAUAGCUCGCGAUGUAGCUCCAUGUUUAUUUUUAUAUGUUCCUAGAGAAAUAUAAGUUGAAAGAUGAUAGUAGCUGUUGGGGAACGUAGUAAUUUCAAAAAAAAAAUCCUACGCACACGCAAGACCAUGGUGAUGCAUAGCAACGAGAGGGGAGAGUGUUGUCCACGUACCCUCGUAGACCGAAAGCGGAAGCGUUAACACAACGCGGUUGAUGUAGUCGUACGUCUUCACGAUCCGACCGAUCAAGUACCGAACGCACGGCACCUCCGAGUUCAGCACACGUUCAGCUCGAUGACGUCCCUCGAACUCCGAUCCAGCCGAGUGUUGAGGGAGAGUUUUGUCAGCACGACGGCAUGGUGACGAUGAUGAUGUUCUACUGACGCAGGGCUUCGCCUAAGCUCCGCGACGAUAUUAUCGAGGUGUAAUAUGGUGGAGGGGGGCACCGCACACGGCUAAGAGAUCAAUGAUCAAUUGUUGUGUCUAUGGGGUGCCCCCCUGCCCCCGUAUAUAAAGGAGCAAGGGGGAGGCCGCCGGCCAAGGAGGAGGGCGCGCCAAGGGGGGAGUCCUACUCCCACCGGGAGUAGGACUCCUCCUUUCCUUGUUGGAGUAGGAAAAGGGAAGGGAGAAGGAGAAAGAAGGAAGGGGGCGCCCCCCUUCCCUAGUCCAAUUCGGACUAGUCGAUGAGGAGGGGUGCGGCCUCCCUUUGGGGUCUUUCUCUCCUUUCCCGUAUGGCCCAUUAAGGCCCAAUACGAAUUCUCGUAACUCUCCGGUACUCCGAAAAAUACCCGAAUCACUCGGAACCUUUCCGAAGUCCGAAUAUAGUCGUCCAAUAUAUCGAUCUUUACGUCUCAGCCAUUUCGAGACUCCUCGUCAUGUCCCCGAUCUCAUCCGGGACUCCGAACUCCUUCGGUACAUCAAAACACAUAAACUCAUAAUAUAACCGUCAUCGUAACGUUAAGCGUGCGGACCCUACGGGUUCGAGAACUAUGUAGACAUGACCGAGACACCUCUCCGGUCAAUAACCAAUAGCGGAACCUGGAUGCUCAUAUUGGCUCCCACAUAUUCUACGAAGAUCUUUAUCGGUCAGACCGCAUAACAACAUACGUUGUUCCCUUUGUCAUCGGUAUGUUACUUGCCCGAGAUUCGAUCGUCGGUAUCUCGAUACCUAGUUCAAUCUCGUUACCGGCAAGUCUCUUUACUCGUUCCGUAAUACAUCAUCCCGCAACUAACUCAUUAGUUACAAUGCUUGCAAGGCUUAUAGUGAUGUGUAUUACUGAGUGGGCCCAGAGAUACCUCUCCGACAAUCGGAGUGACAAAUCCUAAUCUCGAAAUACACCAACCCAACAAGUACCUUUGGAGACACCUGUAGAGCACCUUUAUAAUCACCCAGUUACGUUGUGACGUUUGGUAGCACACAAAGUGUUCCUCCGGUAAACGGGAGUUGCAUAAUCUCAUAGUCAUAGGAACAUGUAUAAGUCAUGAAGAAAGCAAUAGCAACAUACUAAACGAUCGAGUGCUAAGCUAACGGAAUGGGUCAAGUCAAUCACGUCAUUCUCCUAAUGAGGUGAUCUCGUUAAUCAAAUGACAACUCAUGUCUAUGGCUAGGAAACAUAACCAUCUUUGAUUAACGAGCUAGUCAAGUAGAGGCAUACUAGUGACACUCUGUUUGUCUAUGUAUUCACACAUGUAUUAUGUUUCCGGUUAAUACAAUUCUAGCAUGAAUAAUAAACAUUUAUCAUGAUAUAAGGAAAUAAAUAAUAACUUUAUUAUUGCCUCUAGGGCAUAUUUCCUUCAGUAGCAAUGAUGCGGACUUGGUCCGUGAUCUGAGGAUUUUCCUCAUUGUUGCACAGAAGAAUUAUGUCCUUGAUGCACCGCUAGGUGACAGACCUAUUGCAGGAGCAGAUGCAGACGUUAUGAACGUUUUGACAAAAGCUCGGUAUGAUGACUACUUAAAAGUUUAGUGCACCAUGCUUUACGGCUUAAAACCGGGACUUCAAAAAUGUUUUGAACGUCAUGGAGCAUAUAAGAUGUUCCAAGAGUUGAAAUUAGUGUUUCAGACUCAUGCCCGUGUCAAGAGGUAUGAGACCUCUGACAGUACUUUGCCUACAAGAUGGAGGAGAAUAGCUCAACCAGUGAGCAUGUACUCAGAUUGUCUGGGUACUACAAUUGCUUGAAUCAAAUGGGAGUUAAUCUUCCAGAUAAGAUAGUAAUUGACAAAGUUCUCUAGUCACUAUCUCUAAGUUACUAGAACUUCAUGAUGAACUAUAAUAUGCAAGGGAUGACAAAAGUAAUUCCCGAGCUCUUCGCGAUGCUGAAAUCGACGAAGGUAGAAAUCAAGAAAGAGCAUCAAGUGUUGAUGGUUAACAAGACCACUAGUUUCAAGAAAAGGGCAAAGGGAUAGAAGGGGAACUUCAAGAAGAAUGGCAAGCAAGUUGUUGCUCAAGUGAAGAAGCCCAAGUCUGGACCUAAGCCUGAGACUGAGUUCUUCUACUGUAAUGGAAAUGGUCACUGGAAGUGGAACUACCCUAGAUACUUAGCGGAUAAGAAGGAUGGCAAAGUGAACAAAGGUAUAUUUGAUAUACAUGUUAUUUAUGUGUACUUUACUAGUGUUUAUAGCAACCCCUCGGCAUUUGAAACUGAUUCAGUUGCUAAGAGUAGUAACUCGAAACAGGAGUUGCAGAAUGAACAGAAACUAGUUAAGGGUGAAGUGACGAUGUGUGUUGAAAGUAGUUCCAAGAUUGAUAUGAUCAUCAUCGCACACUCCCUAUACUUUCGGGAUUAGUGUUGAACCUAAAUAAAUGUUAUUUGGUGUUUGCGUUGAGCAUGAAUAUGAUUUGAUCAUGUUUAUUGCAAUACGGUUAUUCAUUUAAGUUAGAGAAUAAUUGUUGUUCUGUUUACAUGAAUAAAACCUUCUAUGGUCAUACACCCAAUGAAAAUGGUUUGCUAGAUCUUGAUCGUAGUGAUACACAUAUUCAUAAUAUUGAAGCCAAAAGAUGCAAAGUUAAUAAUGAUAGUGCAACUUAUUUGUGGCACUGCCGUUUAGGUCAUAUUGGUGUAAAGCGCAUGAAGAAACUCCAUGCUGAUGGGCUUUUGGAAUCACUUGACUAUGAAUCACUUGAUGCUUGCGAACCAUGCCUUACUAAGACUCCGUUCUCCGGAACAAUGGAGCGAGCAACUGACUUACUGGAAACAAUACAUACUGAUGUAUGCGGUCCGAUGAGUGUUAAGGCUCGCGACGGGUAUCGUUAUUUUCUGACCUUCACAGAUGAUUUGAGUAGAUAUGGGUAUAUCUACUCGAUGAAACAUAAGUCUGAAACAUUUGAAAAGUUCAAAGAAUUUCAGAGUGAAGUAGAAAAUCAUCUAACAAGAAAAUAAAGUUUCUACGAUCUGAUCGCGGAGACGAAUAUUUGAAUUAUGAGUUUGGUCUUCAUUUAAAACAAUGUGGAAUAUUUUCACAACUCACGCCACCUGGAACACCACAGCGUAAUGGUGUGUCUGAACGUCAUAACCGUACUUUAUUGGAUAUGGUGCGAUCUAUGAUGUCUCUUACCGAUUUACCACUAUCGUUUUGGGAUUAUGCAUUAGAGACAGCUGCAUUCACAUUAAAUAGGGCACCAUCUAAAUCCGUUGAGAUGACACCGUAUGAACUGUGGUUUAGCAGUAAACCUAAGCUGUCAUUUCCUAAAAGUUUGGGGCUGCGAUGCUUAUGUGAAAAAGCUUCAACCUGAUAAGCUCGAACCCAAAUCGGAGAAAUGCGUCUUCAUAGAAUACCCAAAAGAAACUGUUGGGUACACCUUCUAUCACAGAUCCGAAGGCAAGAUAUUUGUUGCUAAGAGUUGAUCCUUUCUAGAGAAGGAGUUUCUCUCGAAAGAAGUGAGUGGGAGGAAAGUAGAACUUGAUGAGGUAAUUGUACUUUCUCCCAAAUUGGAAAGUAGUUCAUCACAGAAAUCAGUUCCAGUGAUUCCUACACCAAUUAGUGAGAACACUAAUGAUGAUGAUCAUGAAUCUUCAGAUCAAGUUACUACCGAACCUCGUAGGUCAACCAGAAUAAGAUCCGCACCAGAGUGGUACAGUAAUCCUGUUCGGAGGUCAUGUUACUUGACCAUGAUGAACCUAUGAACUAUGAGGAAGCGAUGAUGAGCCCAGAUUCCGUGAAAUGGCUUGAGGCCAUGAAAUCUGAGAUGGGAUCCAUGUUAAGAACAAAGUAUGGACUUUGGUUGACUUGCCCGAUGAUCGGCAAGCAAUAUAGAAUAAAUGGAUCUUCAAGAGGAAGACGGACGCUGAUAGUAGUGUUACUAUCUACAAAGCUUGAAUUGUCGCAAAAAUGUUUCCGACAAGUUCAAGGUGUUGACUACGAUGAGAUUUUCUCACUUGUAUCGAUGCUUAAAAGUCUGUCCGAAUCAUGUUAGCAAUUGCCGCAUUUAUAAAAUUUGGCAAAUGGAUGUCAAACUUGCAUUCCUUAAUGGAUUUCUUAAAGAAGAGUUGUAUGUGAUGCAACCAGAAGGUUUUGUCGAUCCUAAAGGUGCUAACAAAAUGUGCAAAGCUCCAGCGAUUCAUCUAUGGACUGGUGCAAGCAUCUCGGAGUUGGAAUAUACAUUUUGAUAGUGUGAUCAAAGCAUAUAGUUUUAUACAGACUCGCGGUGAAGCCUGUAUUUACAAGAAACUGAGUGGGAGCACUACAGCCUUUCUGUUAAGUAUAUGUGUGUGACAUAUUGUUGAUCAGAAAUGAUGUAGAAUUUUCUGGAGAGCAUAAAGGAGUGUUUGGAAGGAGUUUUUCAAAGAAAGACCUCAGUGAAGUUGCUUACAUAUUGAGCAUCAAGAUCUAUAGAGAUAGAUCAAGACGCUUGAUAAGUUUUUCAAUGAGUACAUACCUUGACAAGUUUUUGAAGUAGUUCAAAAUGGAACAAUCAAAGAAAGAGUUCUUGUCUGUGUUGCAAGGUGUGAAAUUGAGUAAGACUCAAAGCCCGACCAUGGUAGAAGAUAGAAAGAGAAUGAAAGUCAUUCCCUAUGCCUCAACCAUAGGUUCUAUAAAGUAUGCCAUGUUGUGUGCCAGAUCUAUUGUAUACCCUACACUGAGUUUGGCAAGGGAGUACAAUAGUGAUCUAGGAGUAGAUCACUGGACAGCGGUCAAAAUUAUCCUUAGUGGAAUAAGGAUAUGUUUCUCGAUAAUGGAGGUGAAAAAAGGUUCGUCGUAAAGGGUUACGUCGAUGCAAGUUUUGACACUGAUCCAGAUGACUCUAAAUCUCAAUCUGGAUACAUAUUGAAAGUGGGAGCAAUUAGCUAGAGUAGCUCCGUGUAGAGCAUUGUUGACAUAGAAAUUUGCAAAAUACAUACGGAUCUGAAUAUGGCAGAUCCGUUGACUAAACUUCUCUCACAAGCAAAACAUGAUCACACCUUAGUACCCUUUGAGUGUUGGUCACAUGGCGAUGUGAACUAUGGGUGUUAAUCACAUGGUGAUGUGAACUAUUGGUGUUAAAUCACAUGGCGAUGUGAUCUAGAUUAUUGACUCUAGUGCAAGUGGGAGACUGAAGGAAAUAUGCCCUAGAGGCAAUAAUAAAGUUGUUAUUUAUAUUUCCUUAUAUCAUGAUAAAUGUUUAUUAUUCAUGCUAGAAUUGUAUUAACCAGAAACUUAGUACAUGUGUGAAUACAUAGACAAAACAAAGUGUCACUAGUAUGCCUCUACUUGACUAGCUCGUUGAAUCAAAGAUGGUUAAGUUUCCUAGCCAUAGACAUGAGUUGUCAUUUGAUUAACGGGAUCACAUCAUUAAAGAACGAUGUGAUUGACUUGACCCAUUCCGUUAGCUUAGCACUUGAUUGUUUAGUAUGUUGCUAUUGCUUUCUUCAUGACUUAUACAUGUUCCUAUGAGUAUGAGGUUAUGCAACUCCCGAAUACCGGAGGAACACUUUGUGUGCUACCAAACGUCACAACGUAACUGGGUGAUUAUAAAGGUGCUCUACAGGUGUCUCCUAUGGUGUUUGUUGAGUUGGCAUAGAUCGAGAUUAGGGUUUGUCACUUCGAUUGUCGGAGAGGUAUCUCUGGGCCCUCUUGCUAAUACACAUCACUAUAAGCCUUGCAAGCAAUGUGACUAAUGAGUUAGUUGCGGGAUGAUGCAUUACGGAACGAGUAAAGAAACUUGUCGGUAACGAGAUUGAACUAGGUAUUGAGAUACCGACGAUCGAAUCUCGGGCAAGUAACAUACCGAUGACAAAGGGAACAACGUAUGUUGUUAUGCGGUUUGACCGAUAAAGAUCUUCAUAGAAUAUGUGGGAGCCAAUAUGAGCAUCCAGGUUCCGCUAUUGGUUAUUGACCAGAAACGUGUCUCGGUCAUGUCUACAUAGUUCUCGAACCCGUAGGGUCCGCACGCUUAACGUUCGGUGACGAUCGGUAUUAUGAGUUUAUGUGUUUUGAUGUACCGAAGAUAGUUCGGAGUCCCGGAUGUGAUCACGGACAUGACGAGGAGUCUCGAAAUGGUCGAGACAUAAAGAUUGAUAUAUUGGACGGCUAUAUCCGGACACCGGAAUUGUUCCGGGUGAUUUCGGAGAAAACCGGAGUGCCGGAGGGUUACCGGAACCCCCCGGGAGAACUAAUGGACCUCAUGGGGCUUAGUGGAGAGAGAGAGGGCCGGGCAGGGCAGGCCCCCCCCCCCUUGGGAGUCCGAAUUGGACAAGGAGGGGGGCGGCGCCCCCCUUUCCCUUCUCCCUCUCCUCCUUCCUUUCCCCCUCCUAGUAGGAGUAGGAAAUGGGAGUCCUACUCCUACUAGGAGGAGGACUCCUCCUCUCUUGGCGCGCCACAAGGGCCGGCCGGCCUCCCCCCUUGCUCCUUUAUAUACGGGGGCAGGAGGGCACCCUAGAACACACAAGUUGAUUGUUUCCAGCCGUGUGUGGUGCCCCCUCCACCAUAAUCCACCUCGGUCAUAUCAUUGCAGUGCUUAGGCGAAGCCCUGCGCCGGUAGCUUCAUCAUCACCGUCACCAUGCCGUCGUGCUGACGAAAGUCUCCCUCGACACUCUGCUGGAUCGUGAGUUCGAGGGACGUCAUCGAGCUGAACGUGUGCUGAACUCGGAGUGCCGUGCGUUCGGUACUUGGGUCGGUCGGAUCGUGAAGACGUACGACUACAUCAACCGCGUUGACAAAACGCUUCCGCUUACGGUCUAUGAGGGUACGUGGACAACACUCUCCCGCUCGUUGCUAUGCAUCACCAUGAUCUUGCGUGUGCGUAGGAAAUUUUUGAAAUUACUACGUUCCCCAACAGCAGCGACGUCACUGGAACUUCCAAGAUGACACAUGUGUAAUGUGUCAUUCUCGCUGCCAUGAGGACCGAGUCCAUCUCUUUUUUGCUUGCAAUUUUAGUCAACGGGUGUGGAAUUAUCUUGGGAUUUCUUGGAUCGUUCAACCAAAUCAGACUACAUAUGAGAUGGCUUUAUCUGCUCAGAGGGACUUUGGUUUUCCCUUUUUCACAGAGGUAGUCUUCACUGCCACAUGGAAUAUUUGGACUCAAAGGAAUGGAAAGAUCUUCAGAAAUGAGCUGCCUUCCUUUAGAUUUUGGAGGAGAAAUUUUGUCCAUGACAUUUCUCUCUUAGCUCAUAGAAUUAAAUGUAAAUAUAGAGAUAGCCUAACCUCCUGGAUAGCUUCCCUUCCAUAGUUCUCUUUGUAAGUAUUUCCCUUCUGUUCUUACUUGUAACUUAGCAACUUUGUAACUUCUCUAGUUCUUUAUCGAUAAAGAACUGUGAGGCUGUUGCCUUGCAGUAUAUAGUGAAAAAAAAGACUAUAUACACAACACUUAUAAAAAUGACCUCACGAAAGAUGAAAGUACAAUCGUGGGGGACGUGAACGCAAAAAACGCCCGUUGCCACUCCAUUGUAGCCCAAGCUUUGUCGGACAAAGGGGGGACACAAACAUUCCACUACCGAAUAGGUGCCAUGGUAGACAAAGUUGCAUUGUGAGGCGGCAAAGCGGGUUGUUAAUGACUGGUGGUAGGUUUGAAUCUUACUUAGGAGUAAGUAUGCUUGUGGAACUACAGUGAUGGCUAUGGUGCAAACUAGAUGCUUCUAAUCAAGUGCAUAUCUGGCGACGUUUACGCGAUCCAUUCUGCCGAGGAGGCCGCCGUCCCGCAAAUUUUGUUUACCGGAUACUGUAAACGAAAUUUGCAAGACACGGCGGUAUACCGGAUUUGCUAGAGAUGCUCUAAGGCUGCAUACUCCACCAUGUACAAGGCAGAUGAUGAUCCUGCACUGAACUUGGUGUGGUCCUCCAGGGUUCCAAACAAGGUCAAGAUCUUUGGAUGGUUACUGCAUAAUGACAGACUGAACACUUGCAAAAACCUACACCGAAAAACCAUCCUACAGCCAGACAAGUGUCUCAGAUGCCUGCACCACACAGAAAUGCUUACACAUGUUCCAUGUGCCCCAAGGCAAAAGCUAUUUGGAGGACAAUUCGCAUCAGACCAAACUGCAAUGACAUCAAGCUUAUUUACAAAACCAACUUCCCAACACACAUCCCCGAGUCACUCCAUACUUUCAUGAUACCGCUCUUUCUCUGGAAGAUCUGGGAUGCAAUAAACACUUGUUUUUAGGCAACUCCAGCUAAGAUCAUCUCAAAUGUAAUUUCGGAUUUUUUUUUGAUCUAGUCUUAGGCCUCAUUCGGUUUGGAGGAAAUCAAAAUGUAGGAUUUAGGAAUAGUAUAGGAAGUUGAUAGGAUGGAAUUUGACAUCUAAAGAAUUGUCUUGCCUCUUUCUACGCACAAAAUGAGCUUUGAGUGAAUUUGUAGAUUCCUUCAAAAAAAAUGAAUAGUAUUCCUACGAAAUCCCCAUGCGUGUUUUCUACAAACCGAAUGCAUCUAUACAAAUUUCUCUGAAUCUUUGUUCCUAUGUUUUUCUAUAAAAUUCCUUCGAACCGAAGGAGGCCUCGGAGACUAAAAAAAAGCUUGGAUUUUGUGGUGACGCCAAUCUGUUUUCAUGCGCCAUAAAAAAACACAGAAGAAUCACGUUUGUACAUGUAACAAUUGAGCCACAACACACAAAGGUCAGUUACCAGUACCAAGUGCUAGAUUUGCCUUGGAACCACUAGUGAAAAAGAACCUGUAAAAAGCUCGCUCAAAAAUCAAAAUCUCUCAGCACUUCAGUACCGCCGGCUCUGCAGAAGCUGGCUCAUCGAGUCGUACCCCAGCGCGCGGUGCAGCAGCAACGGCACCUGCUGCGCACCGGCACCGCCGCUCCUGCCCGCCGCGCGUUCCAGCUCACCCGAGCCGGACACCCCGCUCGUCUGCCGCGCGGGGCCAGCGAUACCCGCAGCCGCGGGAAGCGCCACCUCGAGCACUUCCUCGCACCCGCCGCACCGCAGCCUGAUGAUGUUUCCCCUCCUCCUCGACGGCACCGCCGACGUGGGCGCAUGGAGAAGCUCGGAGCACCCGCCGCAGACAACGAACGGCGCGCCCCCCAGGACCGGGAGGCACUGGCGCCUCUUCCGCGGCCUCGCCGCGCGCCGCUCGCCGUGGCUGUUGGACGACGACGUCGACGACGACCACGAGGCGGAGCCGGUGCUCGAGUAACCGUUCUGGCGCGGGCCACGUGCCGCCGCGUUCUCGGCGGGAAGCUCCUCGGCGAGCCGCGACUCCAGCCGCCGGAACAAACGAGUGUCGCGCCGCGUCACCGCCCCGCUCCCGCCGCUCGUCGACCGCGGCUGCAGCUCGAUGUUGGCGAUCAUGCCCCGGAGCUUGUCCAGCGCGUGCAGCAGGUCCCUUUGGAACGCCGGGUCCGUCAGGGGCGACGCCGUGACAGCGGACACGCUGGCAGACGUCCGGAGCUCCCUAGAGCUCAGCGCCGAUUGCCGGAGCUGCUGCCCGGACGACGCGUUCCUUGGCGCCUCCUCGGGGUCCGGGACAGAGAAGUCCCGUCGACGCAGAAUGCUCGGGUCUGAAGCACUCGACGCCCGCCUCGUCCGCCGAGACGACGCCCGGAGCGCAUCGACGCGACUGUUCACCGGUCGAACGACUCGAACCUCGUCUUGCCCAUCCGAGCCGACGCGGCCGUCUUCGACGCCCCGAGAUACGCAGCUAUUGCUCCGAGGUUGGCCGGCCCGUGGUGAACCGAAGCCUCUGUACGGCGACGGCGAGGAAGCAGCCGCAAUCCCCUGGCUGUUGGCAUCGGAGUUGGAGUUGUAGCCGCACGAGAAGGGCGGCUGGUCGCCGUCGACGUCGAUGACUGAAGGCUGCGUAGAGGAACCCUCGAGCUCGUCGGAGAAGACCGACUCGGUGUCGACGGCCGAGAGGAUCUCCAGACUGCUGAGAGUGUUGUCCGUUUCAUCGUCCGUCGGCUCCGUGUUCUUGCCUGCGGAGAGAGGCAGAACAGAACCGAAGCAGAUUAGAGCAGAACUCAACGGCGCGCAUGUGUCGCACAGUGAUUAUGCGGCGCACCUCGGAUGGGAGUGCGGCAUUUGGUGCAGUAGUAGAUGGCGGCGGCGGUGCUCUGGCAGAUCAUGGCGCGGCAGUACGGGCACCGGCCGAACCGCGUCUUGGUGCCCCCGGCCGGCAUCGUCGUCGCCGCCCCUGUUUCUCUUCUUCUUGGAAGCUGAAAAACGAUGGGUGGAGAGCAGGUACUACCUAGAUUCACCGAAUUGGUUGAAUUAGUACGAAGAAAGAAGAUGCGAUGUCCAUUUCGAACCACGAACCAGUGGUUCGUCAAAAUAAUAAUAAAACUCAAAGUAAUGCUUCAUUGGCCGGGGGUAAUCCUCCAUUUCGAAAAAAAGAAAAAAAUGGCCAUAAGGUUCGGAGGUCAACCAUUAGGUAACUGCUUAUGGCAACCCUUGAUCUGUAAGUUAUGGAAUUGGUCAUCUCAUUCUAGUGGCAGUAGGAUAUUUCUUCAUCAAGUGCAUAGAGAUCAGAGCGUGCAUUUCAACCUGCAAAGUAACCACUCUGGAAUGCCUUUACCGAGAGAGAGAGAGAGAGAGAGAACUUCAUGAGCAAAUUAGUACAGAGGGAGGUGCAUCCAGGACAUGCCGCUAGACUACUGCACUUGGUUCUAAAAUUUUGGACAAAUUGGUUGCGAAACAAACGGAUCCUGGAAUCAGUAAUUGGUCAAAAUUAAUUUAAAAAAUAAAAGAAAUGCUUAAUUGGCCAGAGGUCUAGCAGUAGGUCAACUGCUUAUGACAACCAUUGAGCGAAAAGUUAUUGAAUUGGUCAUUCAUUCUAGGAUGUUUCUUCAUCAAUUGCAUUCAGAGAACAAAGUCGAACUAUAUAAUCCGGAAUGCUGAUGUAGAUCCUGGACUACCUUUACCGAGAGAGAGAGAGAGAGAGAGAGAGAGAGAGAGAGAGAGAGAGAGAGGAAGUCAGGCUCAUUCAUGGACAAAUUUGAUGCAAAACAGUAGGAAGGUUCUGAAAAAUGGCACUAUGAAAUUCCAAAGCAGCAAGCAAAGACAGGAAAUGAAGAACAAGCAGACACACCUCUCUCGUUGUCAAAAUCUUCUUCAGAGAAAUGUGCACACAAAAAAAAUUCUUCUUCAGAGAUUCUUCGUGGGCUUCUGCGCGAUAGCAUAGCACGGUGCCUCUAUAGCGGGCGGGCGGAUUUCUGAAACGUGAAGACAAAGGGAAGAAGAAGUAGGAGGAGGAGGACGAGCACCCAGCCAGAAAGAAUCGUCCUCCCUCGAGACAGCAAAGAUACAGCACUCCGAGGAAGUGCUAUUUUAGUAGGUGGCGUACGUGGAAAGAAGUGGCCAUGAUUUGGUAGUUGGAAUUGGAACACAGCAUUUAGCUUCAUAAAUAUUGCAAAAGGACCUUUUAUAGUAAUAUAAUCGAAAAUUGAAAAGUUCAAUCCGUUCUUUAGAGGAUUUUCUUUUCUUGAGAAACCUCUUCACGCGUUAUUCAGCAAAUAAGUUUGGAGGAAUUGUUACAAAGUCAUGUGGUGAAACUAGCCACAAUUGUCUACCAAAAUCUAGAGAUAAUGAAAACAUUGCUAAACUGUCUGCUUCAAAAUUUCCCUUUUUUUAGAGGAAAUUGAAAAGCCCAAUCGAAAGGCUAGAAUCGGCCUCGGGCCGAAGCCCGAUAUAACUCGCUGGCCCAUUGUUUUGUCGCUCGGCCCAUCGUUAUCCCAUCCGCGCGUGCCUGCAAGCCCCUGCCCGCCACGUAGCACAUUCCGCAGCCUCAGCUCGGCUCAGCUCAGCCUGCUCACCUCCACCUCUCAAACACGCGCGCCUCCACCUCCUCCCAUGAGAGGCGCGCCAUCCUCUCCAUGGCCUCCUCCUCCCUCCUGCCCCCGCCCACCUUCGCCAACAAGCACCAUGCGCUGCUCCACCCGCACGGUGCCAGGCACCGGCUGAUCAGGUGCGGUGCCGCGCCCACCGACGGCGGCGCGGGGGACGAGCUCCUCAGCGGCGCGCUGCACCUGGGCAGGCCCGACCCGGUGGUGGCGACCGUGGUCAGCGACACGGGCACCGAUGGCUGGGGUGACCUUUUCACCGAGCUCAAGAGGUCGCUGCAGGCGGACUCGUCCGACCCGGCCGCCAGCGAUGCGGCAUCCAUCGGCGCCGGCGCCGGCGCGGCUGUCCCGGACGGGCUCCUGAGCUCGCCUCUGGCCGGCGAAGCGGCCAAUGCCAACGCGGCCCUCGUCGUCCCGGACGGGGCCCUGACGAGCGCGCCGGACUCGGCGACGGACGGUGUCGGCGCGGCCGUGGACGCCAUCCCGGACGAGCUCCUCAGCGCGCUGCACCUGGACGCGUCCAGCCCGGCGGUGCGCGUGGCGGACGACGCGCUGUCCCGGAUGGAGGAGCUGACGGCGGGGAUGAACGAGGCGGAGCGGUGGGCGCUGUUUGGGGUGGUGGCGGUGACGUGGCUGUACCUGACGGCGCGGCCCGGGGUGCUGAGCGGCGCGGUGGACACGUACGUGUUCGCGCCGCUGCAGCAGGCGCUGGACACGCUGCUGGGGCGGCGGAGCCUGAAGAUGAGCGACUUCGUGGUGGGCGAGCGCAUCGGGGAGGGGUCGUUCGGGGUGGUGUACUCCGGCGCCGUGGUGCCCAGGGGCGGGCCCGCCGUCGAGGAGAGGGCCGGCAGGGCCAAGACUAAGCUCCAGCUCGACGACCGGUACAAGGAGAAGGUCAUACUCAAGAAGGUGAGCCUGGUGCAAGCGACGCUAGCUCAAGAGGGUCCGCCGGGGUUGCGAGCAAAAAUGGCGAAUCUGAUGGGUGGACCGGCGGUGCGUGUUCUGAUUUGCAGAUAAAAGUGGGGACAGUUGGAGCCAAGGAGUGCGGCGACUACGAGGAGUGGUUCAACUACCGGGUGGCGAGGGCGGCGCCGGAGUCGUGCGCGGAUUUCAUGGGGAGCUUCGUCGCCGACAAGACCAAGUCCGAGUUCGUCAAGGGCGGCAAGUGGCUCGUCUGGAAAUUUGAGGUAUGCUUCUUCAUAAAUAACGCACNNNNNNNNNNNNNNNNNNNNNNNNNNNNNNNNNNNNNNNNNNNNNNNNNNNNNNNNNNNNNNNNNNNNNNNNNNNNNNNNNNNNNNNNNNNNNNNNNNNNNNNNNNNNNNNNNNNNNNNNNNNNNNNNNNNNNNNNNNNNNNNNNNNNNNNNNNNNNNNNNNNNNNNNNNNNNNNNNNNNNNNNNNNNNNNNNNNNNNNNNNNNNNNNNNNNNNNNNNNNNNNNNNNNNNNNNNNNNNNNNNNNNNNNNNNNNNNNNNNNNNNNNNNNNNNNNNNNNNNNNNNNNNNNNNNNNNNNNNNNNNNNNNNNNNNNNNNNNNNNNNNNNNNNNNNNNNNNNNNNNNNNNNNNNNNNNNNNNNNNNNNNNNNNNNNNNNNNNNNNNNNNNNNNNNNNNNNNNNNNNNNNNNNNNNNNNNNNNNNNNNNNNNNNNNNNNNNNNNNNNNNNNNNNNNNNNNNNNNNNNNNNNNNNNNNNNNNNNNNNNNNNNNNNNNNNNNNNNNNNNNNNNNNNNNNNNNNNNNNNNNNNNNNNNNNNNNNNNNNNNNNNNNNNNNNNNNNNNNNNNNNNNNNNNNNNNNNNNNNNNNNNNNNNNNNNNNNNNNNNNNNNNNNNNNNNNNNNNNNNNNNNNNNNNNNNNNNNNNNNNNNNNNNNNNNNNNNNNNNNNNNNNNNNNNNNNNNNNNNNNNNNNNNNNNNNNNNNNNNNNNNNNNGCCACCAUAAUUCUGACUCCAUGGCGACACAACGAAGCACCGAAAAACCAGUUGAACACGUCGGAAAACCGUACCGAAACCAAAGCCCUACUUUAUGCAAUCAUCGUUACCAAGCAGAUCCCAACACCUCCGGGCACCCACCUCAGCAAAAAAAACUAUCAUCCGGCGAUGAUGUCCCCAAGGAGGAGAAAGACGAAAAAAUGCAUGCAUCGCAUGAUCUAGCGAAUCAUGGGUUUCCCUCAGAGUCAAGGUCGUCAGACGAGGAGAGGAGCACAACCCCACAUCAAAGCUCUCAAGAUAUUCUAGGGACUUUGCACGCAUUGUCCUCGCUGGUUUCAACCAAGACCAGAACAAGGAUUUCUCCCGGACAUCCCUCAACCUCAUGUUGCCCGAAUCACCCUUCCAUGAGUCACAAUAGACGACGUGAAAGUGCUUCAAAAGGUGUCGGCAGGUGCGCAGAACCGGAGACGACAUGUUCACCCAAGCCCCACCGACGACCACCCCUACUAGGAAACCCCUAAGUGACCACAGGACCCGUAGUCCUGGUUGUGUUCACCAUUCCUCAUGGACCAACACAGUGCCGCCAUCAACCACCUUUUUUAGACUAAAGCACGCUGAUAGAGCACAAAGAGGCACCGGAAGAGUUGGGGACUAGGCAAGCCUAUUCUUCCCACGUUAGAAUUUUGAUGAGGUAUGUGUGUUAACAUGCUUGGAAGGAUUGGUUUGAGGAAAAUACAUGGUUGAAAAUAGGGUAAAGCUCCGUGAGUCUUAGUUAUCCAAGUCCAGAAGAUUCUCCAUAGAAAGAAAAUCCAAAUAGGAAAAGAAUAAUUUCUGUCAGAAAACAAAAAAAAAUGGCCCAUACAGGUCUCGAACCUGUGACCUUCGCGUUAUUAGCACGACGCUCUAACCAGCUGAGCUAAUAGGCCUGUUGUGGUACGAAAUGAAAUAGCAUUUUAUUUGAUACAUUGAAUAAAUCUCAUGCUAGCAGCAAAGCAAAACACCCGCUCGACGCCCGCAAUGGCCGAUAAACUCCAAACGCGCGCGCUCUGACAUUUGAACUUGUUGGAUGCUAAAGUGUACAUUGGACAAUUUUGAUGCUAGCAGGAGCAAAAACACCCGCUCGUCUUGCUUAUACGCCGGCAAUGGCCGAUAAACUCCAAACGCGCGCGCUCUGACACUUGAACUUGUUCCCGCGUGCAGGGCGACCGGACGCUGGGCAACUACGUGACGGACCGGGGCUUCCCGGCGAACCUGGAGCCGCUCAUGUUCGGGCGCGCGCUGCGGGGCGUGGACGCGCUCACCCGCGCCGCCCUGGUGGUGAAGCAGGUGAUGCGGCAGCUCGUCACCUCGCUCCGCCGCAUCCACGACACCGGCAUCGUCCACCGCGACAUCAAGCCCUCCAACCUCGUGGUCACCCGCCGGGGCCAGGUCAAGCUCAUCGACUUCGGCGCCGCCACCGACCUGCGCAUUGGCAAGAACUACGUGCCCGACCGCACCCUGCUCGACCCGGACUACUGCCCGCCCGAGCUCUACGUGCUCCCCGAGGAGACCCCCACGCCGCCCGCCGAGCCCAUCGCCGCCAUCCUCUCCCCGAUCCUCUGGCAGCUCAACAGCCCCGACCUCUUCGACAUGUACUCAGCCGGGAUCGUGCUCAUGCAGAUGGCCACGCCGGCGCUCAGGUCGCCCUCGGGCCUCAAGAACUUCAACUCCGAGCUCAAGGCCGCCGGCUACGACCUCAACAGGUGGCGGGAGACCACGCGCCGGAGACCCGACCUGCAGAUCCUGGACCUCGACUCCGGCAGAGGCUGGGACCUGGCCACCAAGCUCAUCGCGCAGCGGGAGAAGGGGCGGCUCUCCGCCGCCGCCGCGCUCCGGCACCCCUAUUUCCUGCUUGGCGGAGAUCGGGCCGCCGCCGUCCUGUCAAAGCUGCAGCUCACCAAAUAGUAAUUGAUAUGUCUGGCUACAUAGAACAAGCGAUCAAACCCCUGCAUAUAGUAUCCAUAUAGAUGUCCAUCCCAUAAAUUCUGCCCUGAAUCCUGACAUGAGUGAGACGCAAGAUCACCAAUGGCAUUGGCAAUUUUGUUGUACAGUCAUGAUUCAUGAGAUCUCAAGGCAUCUGGCUGGUGUCAAUCAAUCAGUACAUUGUUUCGUGCGAGUUCAUAUGGACAGCGUGUGUGGUGCAGAGUUACAGAUGCUGGGCUAACUUAAUUUACUGCUGAUCGAGUGUGGACACUACCAAGAAAUCCUACUUCUGCUGGUCAGUUUCUCGAACCUACGUAUGCCGCCGAGCAGGCUCUUGCUGAUGCUCCCAGCCAAUGGAGGCCGUGCUCGUUCUGAAGCUCUAUUGACUGGCGGGCAGGAACAUCAGGUUUUGUCCUCGAAAGACUGUUUACUCAUAACUUCGUCACCUGGCCGGCAGUAUGGUUCGAACUUCUGCUGAAGAUCGGCCUGGUUCCCCCCCACCAUCUUGUCGAUCUCCUUCUUAUCUCUCAAGAAGAUGAAUGUCGGCGUGGCACGUACCUCGAAUUCCGUGACCAGUUCCUGACAAAAAAAAAACAUAUAUCGAAAUGACAUUUAGUUUGAGCAUUCGCUCAAAGCUGAAUUAGUAAUGAGCCGGUGGAACAUUUGUGUACCGGUAGUUCGUCUACGUCCACAGACACGAAAACAAGAUCGGAAUGCUUCAAAGAGAGUUCGGCGUACGUAGGAGCAGCGAUCCUACACGGGCCACACCAUACUGCGCUGAAUUUUACAACAAGCUGUGCAGUUGAAAAAUGUCAGCAUGGUUAAUCAAAACAAGUGCACGAAUUCCAAAUUGGAAAGUCACAUGCACCUAUGUAUCCUUGUGUCCAGAGUAUGAGUUGGGUUGUAAGCUACUUACUGUUUUAUUGGCGUCAGUUGCAUCUUCCACUUUCUUCUCCCAGCUCUUUAGAUCGGUUAUAAGAGUCACAUUCCCAGAGCUGUAGUCUAGGUGUUCCUCCUCAUCUACAGGGUUCUGCAAAGGGAAGCAUAACCAAAGAGCUCGAUUUACUAACAUAUAACUCGAUAAACGGCUUCCUUUAAUUGGGCCUUACUAUCAGUUGACCAACAAAAAAAAGCACUACGUAGCAUGGCAAACAAACACAAGCUAUGCAAUAAAGAUGCUAGUGCACGAUUCAGUUAUCAAAGUUGCCAGUUGUAAAUGAGAUGUAUGUGAGUAAAAACUACUCACGCUGCCGCAGCAUCCCAUUGGUUCGAGCAAAUCCGUCAGGAUGUCCGGACUCCUGGACUCUGGUAGACGAGGAGGAAAAAGAGAUAUAUUUUCAGUGCUGAUUUCACUAUUUGACUGGAUAAAAGCAAUACGCUAUGCCAUAACAUGAUACCAAUACAUCAAAUAUGAUUAACAUAGCUAGCUCUAGAUGGCGAAAUGGUGAAUAUAAAUAUGUACUACUCCCUCUAACUCUAAAGAAAUAUAAGAGAGUUUAGAUCACUAAGGGAGUACCUCUGUUCUUAAAUAUAAGAUGUUUUGACAGUUUAAAUUGAAGUGCUAAAACUUCCUAUAUUUAGGAACAGAGGGUGUACAUACAAAUGGUGAAUAGCACUUCAAUUCUUCAAAACAAUGGCCAGAGACUGCAGAAAUAUGAACAAGAACAGACCAGCCAAAAACGUGCUGUUUGUUUUAGAUAGAAAAAUUGAAACAGAUUUGAUGCCCAAGUCACAGCCACGGCAAAUCCAAUAGAACCAAGAAGUUUGUCUGCACGAUGGCGAAUCUUGCUCAACAUAUUUGCCUGAAUCCGCACGCAACAGUUUCAGACGAUCCUAGGGUGUCGAUUUUUUUUGCCCAAAGGAGAUGCAUUCAUUAAAUUGGAGGAGACCUCCAACAACAAUAUGACGGUUUGAACGCCAAGGAAAAAACAUACGAUUACCACAUCGCUUAGAUGUAUAUUGUAGAUUUAGGAAAUGCCAUGAUAUGGAACCGGCAAAUAGCUUUCGGCAGCCAUGCAUGCAGCCUGGUUAUUACUCUAUUACAUUGUUGAGAGCAGAACGAAAUGCACAUAUACAUGCAUACCUUGCGCAGGACCAAGAAGCCUAUGUUCCUCCUCCUGAUGAUGAUGGGGGAUCCAACGGAAGAUUCAGAUUUCCCCGCGUUGGACGCCUGCCGGCCGUCGUCCACGGCAAGCCCACCCCGGCGGGCGGCGGGGGCUCGGAGAGAGGCGGGUGGCGCCGGGGCGGAACGGCCCUUGCCGUUAAUAGCAGCCGCUCAAACCGUCGAAACCGGAGGGCGUGGUGACAGGGGAUCUGCAAAUAGGCCGAGGGAGGGAGCGGCUGGGAACGGGGUUCUGGGAAGGGAAGACGUACGCGCGCGCGCGCGCGGGAGAGGGAGGGCGAGAAAGAAAAGAGGCGACCGACCCCACUCCCUCGUCCAAAAUUAGUUUGGUGAUUUAGGCCUGCGGAAUGGACCAAACUGGACGGCGACGUGCACGCGAGCACGGCCGUUCUGCCGGCGCAGCACAGCACAGCACAGCGCCAAGACGUGACAAGGUAAGGCACACGCCGGUGCUAGCGCCGAUCAGCGGUGGCAGCACAGCCCAGUAUUUCGGGUGGCGGUGGCCCUCCUGGCUCUGCUGCAUACCGUGGCGGCCAUGGUUGCUGCUGCGCCUUGUCCACACUCUUAUUUGCCGGCUUGAGUUUCUAUAUGAUUUUUUUUAAUAAUCAACAGAUGCAAGGUGCUUACAGAAACAAGCCGUUUUCCACUUUAAGCACUGGUGAUUAAGCAUAAGUUGAUUAUUUUUCAAACACCUACCUAUAUAAGCACUCAAAACAUCUAAAAAUAAAGGCGCACGUGCCGCUGCUUACGAUUUCUGAGGAAAUCUGUCGUCUUCACCUACUUAUCAUGGCUAGAGACUCGAAGCUCAUGACAAAGUAUGGAAAACUCUACAGAAUACAGUAGAGAGCAAUGCAGAAAAGGACGGGAUAGAGUGGAGAACAUUACCGCUUUUACUUUAUCUGACUGAUGGACGGCAGCUAAGAUUAUACUCCGUCUGAUUUCAUUUACUUUGCAUAUUAGCUUUGUCUUAAAUUAAAGCUAGUAACUUAUAAACAAUUACUAACACCUACAAUAUCUAAUCAAUACUAGUAACAUCAGAUUCAUCAUUGAAUGAAUGGCCAAAGUUUACAAAGUUUGACCUAGGGCAAAGCUAAUAUGCAGAGCCAACGCGUUUUGCAGCGAGCUUCUGGUAUAUUGCUAGUUGCAACUACCCUUUGAUGCUUUAGCUGCGAAGAACAACCAAACUGAACAUCCAUACAUACGAAAACAUGACCUAAAACCAAAAGAAGAUAAAUCUGGACAAGGUCAUUAAGCAAACAUGUUUUAAUGAACAUUUACCAAAUAACACCAACACUGAUGAAGGUUAACCCAACAAGCAUAGGUGAAUAGGCUGAUAGGCAUGCAUGUCUGCCGAUACUAGUGGCAAUUGAUGAUAGGACCGACGCCGAAUGCAAUUUACAAUCCUUGAGGAUUGGAUUACACACAACCAGCAACAAAUCGAAGAAACAAUGGCCCAUAAAUAUUUUUCUUGAAGCGACAUUUCAGUUGUCCACGAUGCAGGUCUUCAACCCAUGGCGUACUUCUGCGUCCAGCUGCGGGCU